This 89-nucleotide ribosomal RNA is filed under the name Fervidobacterium thailandense. RNAcentral's name for it is "partial 16S ribosomal RNA". It matches the Rfam family "Bacterial small subunit ribosomal RNA", at positions 1 to 85 of the family's 1533-position model. Lineage: Bacteria; Thermotogati; Thermotogota; Thermotogae; Thermotogales; Fervidobacteriaceae. The record is from RNAcentral.
AGCUUGGAGGGUUUGAUCCUGGCUCAGGGUGAACGCUGGCGGCGUGCCUAACACAUGCAAGUCGAGCGGUGCGGCUGGAGGCUUUUGCC